Molecule: long non-coding RNA, 1833 nt
Filed under: Olea europaea subsp. europaea
Lineage: Eukaryota; Viridiplantae; Streptophyta; Magnoliopsida; Lamiales; Oleaceae
Source: RNAcentral
GUGCUCUAGUUGAAUUUUCUGCUUAUCUAUGUAAAAUGUGACACUAUUUAUGAAUAAUAAUUGAGUUUAGCAUCGUGCAGAAAUAGGAAGAUUCAUACGUGUAGGUUGAAUAGAGAAUUUAGAAGUUCAAUCCCAUACCCUAUGAUUCACAACUUCCUUUAACUGUAUAAAUUACAAUUUGGGGUGUUUAAGCCGAUAAAAGAAAUGAUUUAGGAUGUGGUGAUUCCGUGCAUGUUGAAAAUAACUUUCUAAUAUGGACUAGGUGAUGACCAAAUGCUAGGGAUCUAAAUCUCUAUUAAUUUUGCUUCUCUUUUAUAGAAAAUAAGCAUUGCACUUAUUUAGGAUAUGCCUUACAUCAGUACCUUUUUUACUUGAGUUAGUCAAUCUGUAGGGGUAUUUCAAAACUUGGGGAGUUAUCUACUAAAACCUCAUUACAAAGGUCAAGAAGGAGAAUAUUAAGUUGAAAAGAAAAUAUGAAAAUAAAUAAAAAGAAAAAAAAAUCUAUAUGCAGGUUCCCAAAUAAGAGCUAAUUGUUGGGGCUUAGAUAAUUUCUGGGUUCGACUCAACACUUAUAAUUUGGGAGAAUCAUCACAUAAAUAAAUUGUUGAUGUUAUCGACUUGACUUAACCAAAUUAGAGGGGUGUAAGAAUUUGAUAAUUGAAAGUAAACUUUAGAAUUACACCUUGGAGAGAGAAUGAAAGAAAACAACUUUGGGAGUAUGUGAAUCUUACGAGCGAAGAAAGAAAAUAAUUGACUAUAGAGGAUUGAUGAUUGAAAAUUGAACUCACUUGUGAAUGUACAACGUUUCAUUUGAUUCUUCACACACACCCCCUAUUUUACAUUGGAUAACUAGAAGUUUAGCUCUUGCAUUGUGAUUUUGAAGCCGUUCAUAAACAUUAUAUGAUGUUCUUAAUACUAAGCCAAGAGGCAAGCUUCUCACUAAGUUUUGUUUUUGCGUUCCUUGGAUGUUUUCUUUUUCAUUGUGUUUGCUUCAAGGAAAGGAAACUAUGAAGUUUGGAGGCAUUUGAUAAAUGCAUUUAACUCACGAAUUUUAUACUAUUUUAACUUGAUUAUUGGCUAGAUUUUAUGAGUACUGAAUAUGUUUAUAGUAUUUGUUAGUGUUGUUUUAUAGGUUUGGUGAGGUGGUGUUUAUGUAAAAGUGUAGAAAAUAGCUAUUGACAUAAAUCGAAGAGAAAAGAGGAACAAAGGGGCAAAAUAGUUAAAUUCCUACCAGAACUCGACACCCAAGCACAAAGAAGAGCAAAAGAUCAAAAUUUCCCUAGGCGUGGCUCCUCAACGCCAUUUGAAGAAACAGGAAAAUCAACAAUUGUGGCGUCCUUGCAUCACCAUUGAAAAUGAGAACCUGAGUUGCCACCCUGCUUGAAGAUGCAGUGCCGUAGUGCCAUUAUAUGGUGCCUAGGCGCUGCAUGCUGUCGUCUAGGAUGCAGAUUUUUAGCCACAUUAAAAGCCCAGAUUGACUCCACAUUCAGGCGAAAGGUUAGAGGAAUUAUAAAUACAUAGGAGUAAUCACUUUUUGAGGGGUUCCACACUUUGAGAAACAAGAGAUACAAUUUGAGAAUUAGGAUAACAAAUCAAAAGAGAAAAAAUUCAGAAAUCGAGGUUUUGAAGAUUGACUGGGGCAAGAAGAUCAUCUUGGUGCGAGAUUCAUCUGCUUAUCUUCAUCUUUAUUCAACAUCUAGUGAUGUUCUCAAUGGAUAUCUAUUGUUUUUCUUCACACAUUAUGAGUAGCUAAAUCUUUUAUUAAGACAAAUAAUGUAAUCUAUUUGAGAUCUUUUAUUUCUUUUAUUCAAGAUUCUAGUUUAUUGAAAAGCA